This 386-nucleotide unclassified non-coding RNA is filed under the name Hevea brasiliensis (rubber tree). Lineage: Eukaryota; Viridiplantae; Streptophyta; Magnoliopsida; Malpighiales; Euphorbiaceae. The record is from RNAcentral.
GUUUCAUAGAGCCAAUCUUUGAAACUGGUACUUUCCCAUGUAUGCAUUGUAUGGAACUGUUAUCAAUGAUUGAUGGCACGAUGUUGUCCGCCCAUUGACGCAGCCAGUCCAUAGAUAUCCAAAAGUAAAAUUCCUCAGGUGAUUGGACAGCAGCUUUAGAAAGGAUUGAACGUACCUCCAGCCUCCGUUCCGUGAGGCAGUUCACCUCAGACUCCUUCUUCAUUUUGUAUUGCUCACAGGAGUCGACAUAUGAGUCAUUCAGUUUUUCUACCUCCUCAUAGAGGUGGGGUGGAAGAUGACUCUCAACUUCCGAAGAUGUACAAGCCUCUUUUUCCGCUAUAUAACCACUAGAGUCAAUUGGCAUUUUAUCACAAUUCUUUGGACGU